RNAcentral lists this ribosomal RNA (504 nucleotides) under uncultured bacterium. RNAcentral describes it as "bacterial SSU rRNA". It matches the Rfam family "Bacterial small subunit ribosomal RNA", at positions 28 to 524 of the family's 1533-position model. The record is from RNAcentral.
GACGAACGCUGGCGGCGUGGAUUAGGCAUGCAAGUCGAACGGUAUCAUCCUUUCGGGGGUGAGAGAGUGGCGAACUGGUGAGUAACACGUAGGUUAUCUACCCUCAAGACGGGGACAACCCAGGGAAACUUGGGCUAAUACCGGAUGUGAGCAACUUUUAGUUGUUUGAAAGGUGGCGUAAGCUGUCGCUUGGGGAUGAGCCUGCGUCCUAUUAGUUAGUUGGUGAGGUAACGGCUCACCUAGGCAAUGAUAGGUAGGCGGCCUUAACGGGUGGUCGCCCACACUGGGAUUGAGAUACGGCCCAGACUCCUACGGGAGGCAGCAGUCGAGAAUAGUCUACAAUGGUCGGAAGACUGAUAGUGCGACGCCGCGUGAACGAUGAAUCCCUUCGGGGUGUAAAGUUCUUUUAUAUGUGAGCAGUGCUUCUUAUAUUAACAGUAUGGGGAGAGAGAUAUUAGCAUAUGAAUAGGCAACGGCUAACUCCGUGCCAGCAGCCGCGGUAAA